AACGAACGCUGGCGGCAGGCCUAAUACAUGCAAGUCGAACGCUCCGCAAGGAGAGUGGCAGACGGGUGAGUAACGCGUGGGAACCUUUCCAGUGGUACGAAUAGCCCAGGGAAACUCGGGGUAAUACCGUACAAGCCCUUACGGGGAAAGAUUUAUCGCCAUUGGGUGGGCCCGCGUCGGAUUAGCUGGUUGGUGGGGUAAUGGCCUACCAAGGCGACGAUCCGUAGCUGGUCUGAGAGGAUGAUCAGCCACACUGGGACUGAGACACGGCCAGACUCCUACGGGAGGCAGCAGUAGGGAAUAUUGGACAAUGGGCGCAAGCCUGAUCCAGCCAUGCCGCGUGAGUGACGAAGGCCUUAGGGUUGUAAAGCUCUUUUGGCGGGGAAGAUAAUGACGGUACCCGCAGAAUAAGCUCCGGCUAACUUCGUG
This 429-nucleotide ribosomal RNA is filed under the name uncultured bacterium. RNAcentral's name for it is "bacterial SSU rRNA". It matches the Rfam family "Bacterial small subunit ribosomal RNA", at positions 29 to 507 of the family's 1533-position model. The record is from RNAcentral.